GACGAACGCUGGCGGCGUGCCUAAUACAUGCAAGUCGAGCGAAGUUUUUCUGGUGCUUGCACUAGAAAAACUUAGCGGCGAACGGGUGAGUAACACGUAAAGAACCUGCCUCAUAGACGGGGACAACUAUUGGAAACGAUAGCUAAUACCGGAUAACAGCAUAAAUCGCAUGAUAUAUGUUUAAAAGUUGGUUUCGGCUAACACUAUGAGAUGGCUUUGCGGUGCAUUAGCUAGUUGGUGGGGUAAAGGCCUACCAAGGCGACGAUGCAUAGCCGACCUGAGAGGGUGAUCGGCCACACUGGGACUGAGACACGGCCCAGACUCCUACGGGAGGCAGCAGUAGGGAAUCUUCCGCAAUGGGCGAAAGCCUGACGGAGCAACGCCGCGUGAGUGAAGAAGGAUUUCGGUUCGUAAAGCUCUGUUGUUAGGGAAGAAUGAUUGUGUAGUAACUAUACACAGUAG
Molecule: ribosomal RNA, 462 nt
Filed under: Gemella sanguinis
Lineage: Bacteria; Bacillati; Bacillota; Bacilli; Caryophanales; Gemellaceae
Description: bacterial SSU rRNA
Rfam family: Bacterial small subunit ribosomal RNA
Source: RNAcentral